GGGUGAGUAACACGUGAGCAACCUGCCCUGGACUCUGGGAUAAGCGCUGGAAACGGCGUCUAAUACUGGAUAUGAGCCUCUUCCGCAUGGUGGGGGUUGGAAAGAUUUUUUGGUCUGGGAUGGGCUCGCGGCCUAUCAGCUUGUUGGUGAGGUAAUGGCUCACCAAGGCGUCGACGGGUAGCCGGCCUGAGAGGGUGACCGGCCACACUGGGACUGAGACACGGCCCAGACUCCUACGGGAGGCAGCAGUGGGGAAUAUUGCACAAUGGGCGGAAGCCUGAUGCAGCAACGCCGCGUGAGGGAUGACGGCCUUCGGGUUGUAAACCUCUUUUAGCAGGGAAGAAGCGAAAGUGACGGUACCUGCAGAAAAAGCGCCGGCUAACUACGUGCCAGCAGCCGCGGUAAUACGUAGGGCGCAAGCGUUAUCCGGAAUUAUUGGGCGUAAAGAGCUCGUAGGCGGUUUGUCGCGUCUGCUGUGAAAUCCCGAGGCUCAACCUCGGGCCUGCAGUGGGUACGGGCAGACUAGAGUGCGGUAGGGGAGAUUGGAAUUCCUGGUGUAGCGGUGGAAUGCGCAGAUAUCAGGAGGAACACCGAUGGCGAA
Molecule: ribosomal RNA, 601 nt
Filed under: Microbacterium sp. 09WSH10-17
Lineage: Bacteria; Bacillati; Actinomycetota; Actinomycetes; Micrococcales; Microbacteriaceae
Description: bacterial SSU rRNA
Rfam family: Bacterial small subunit ribosomal RNA
Source: RNAcentral